GCCACGGCUACCGGCGGAGGAUCAACGUUGUGUCGUGGGCGCGGCGCCGCCGGUAGAGGCGCGAGCACGAGGGAGCAGAACCGGCACUGCAGGUCGUCGACGGUUCAUUUUCGCAAGGUACCAGAGAAGAUACAUGACUUGAAGUUGAUAUUUGGCAUGAUGGCAUCGACACUUGAGUGUCGAGCUUUCUAAUUAUCUUUGAGCAUGGAGGAAGACAAACUGACAAAUACAAGAGCCAGGUGAGCAACAAUGUUUUAGCAGUCCAAUUAUGUAGUAGCCUAUACAAGUUCUAUAGAUCAUCAGAAGGUUAUAAAUUUAAUGCUCUGGCAUGUUACUGCUAAUAGGAAAUGCAUACGGUGAGAUUUACCUUUCCCAACUUCCUUUGCAUCUUCGCAUAUAACUGAAUAUGGAGAAUUUGUUUUUUCAACUUGCAUCAAUUAAAUUUGCAAGUUCAUCGAGUUUUCAAAUUUAUUCGCAAAAGAAAGUUUUCAAAUUGUGGCCAAACAGAGGAUAGGCUUGGGUACCUUUCAUUUCACUGCUGGACAUGAUGCACCUUCCAUUAGAGCAUAUCUACAAAUAAUUUCAGGCUACUGUUUGUGUUUCCCGUUAAUUUCAGGCGCACACGUGAUGGUGCUCACAGGUGCGGUAUUGCAAUGGUUAGCGGCAACAUUUCAUGCCGCGUGCAGAUCAAAAAUUUCCAGCACCUAUCAGUUGGUUCCCUCGAGCCCCAGUGUAGACUAUAUGCUCUGUAAGUGUACAACUUUGGAACAUUGGCGAGAUAAACUAAAAAGGAAGUGCUACUUCUGGAGAUUAAUUGAGAUGGAGUAUGAAGGAAGAGUUCAGGUUGAUCCCUAGAGCUAUGAAGUGUUCUCUUUUAUUUCCUGGUCAGAUUGUUGGAUGUCAGGGUCUACUCUCUAGAGCAAUCAACAGUGUCAUAUGUUCAUGUGUUUCUGCCUUUUUGUUCUCAUCUUCGCUGGUCCGUAACAAAACUCAACUCCUAAUGAUGAGCACUUAAGGUAACCAUUGCCACCAUUGGGGAAUAAAAUAAUGAAGAUCGUAGUGCUUCACAUGCUUUUGAUAUUGAACAUUAAUUAUUUUAAUGUAUGCAUUUCCUAUAAAUUUCCUUAAUGAUCAAUGCUAAAUCUUUCUCUCUGAAGGCCUGCUUAUUAACACCUUUUAAGGAUCAAAAAAUGAGCUCCUGAAUUGGCUUUGUGUGGUAUUGAACUUGUUCGUCUUCAGAUAAGGUGAUCUUUUUAUGAGUGGUAUUAGUAAUUAUUAUUCCUGCAUAGUAACAUCAAGUCUAUAGAGGAGUUUUUUAAUGCUCGUUAGAAGGACUGAUUCGUUGCCAAUUUGGUUUAGCACUAGUGGACAAAAUACAUUAUAUUCAUAUUAGAAAGUAUUUUCCUUGAGUAUAAUUUAAUAUUGUCCACCGUAUAAUAUGUCUUGUACUGGAUUUGGCAGAUAUACAUCUGUACAUGACAUAAACGAUAGCCUCAUGGACUACCCCCUAUGUAUGUAUGUUGUAAUUCCAAUUGAUGAUCUACUAAGGCCUUCUGACCUGCCGAAACUUUCACAUGUACUCCUAAGAAAUGUUCUGAUGUACCUUACCCUUUUCGAUAAGAACUACCAUUCCAGCUGAUGGUGCCAAGGAUCUUUGCUCACUUACCAUUAUUAAUUUAUUAUAAGUACAUAUAAUUGUUAUCAUCACCUGUGUUUCACCGGAUACUCAGUACCACAGUGCUAACCGCGAUAUGCUAGGGAGAUGAGGUUCAUGCUGGAAUUUGCCUCCGAGAGCCAUGAAGAACUCGGUUUAGUUUGGCUCAAGGCCAGUUUCUCUUCUGUUCAAGCAAAGGAUGUCAUGUUGGUCAUGGUUUUUCUUGUGUUGGAUGUGGUCCUUUUGCUCGUUUUGGUUCACACGUUCUUCAGCUAUGCACCGGCCAAUCCCGUACUGAUCUCAAACGGCAGGGGUUGGCUUUUGCACAAGAAAUCAUCAAUUUCCUUGGCUAGACACAAGGUACUUUUUCGUAUAUAUACUUGAGUUUUGUGUUCUAGAUAUAGGUACAAUCGGGUCAGGUGAUACGCUAUAAGAAUAUUGUACCCUACUCCCUCCGUCAGCGAGUAAGUGUACGUUCUCCUUUUUUUUGGAAGUUAAACAUUUUUAAAGUUGACUAGAUUAUUACACAAAAAUAACAACAUAUGUGACAUCAAACUACUGUACUACUGUACUACAUGUCCAGAUGAGCCUAGCCAUAUUAAUUUGGUGCCAUAAAAGCUACUACUUUUUUCUAGAAAGUUAAUAGAGUUUGACUUAAGAUAUGUUCUAACUCACACUUAUUAGUGGACGGAGGGAGUACUGGCUAGAUUAACCAUCCCUUGUACAUAGGUGACAUUCUUGCAAUUUACGCUCAAAUUAAAGAAGUAAUUGAUGUGAAAUUAGAUUUGUGCAAGCAAGAUAGAACUGUUUUUAAUCAGUUGAUAGACUUUUAUAUUGUGGCCAUCGUCCUCAGCGUCAACAAUUAGUCCAAACAAAGAUGCAAGAUUCCAGGUAGGUGACAAGACCCAACUGCUUCUUUCUGAUGGAGAGCUCCUUCGUAUCAGACCUAAGCAGUUCAUCCUUAUUGUCUCUGUAUUUGCGCACAAAUACAUAUGCUUCUCUUAAUUUUCCUGUAUUUUUUUAAAGCAGCGAUUCUGCAGCUAGGUUCAGACCAGCUAUACCCGUAACAAUGGGUGAGGUGUGGCAAUAAAAUUAUCACACAUUGUGUACAUUCAUCUAACUACUUAUUUUCUUAUCACACACACUGAGUAUAUUUCCUAGCAGGGAACCAUUUCCAUUUCACGGCCAGUUCCUAGACAUAAAACGUACUAAUGUGAGUCUGCAACUGGCACUUAACCAUCAUGCUGAGAUCUUGGCUAUUCAACUAGGAACCACUUCCAUCUCUGUACCUUGAUCAUUUCCUUGCAUUUUCUAAUAUAAGCUGCCAGCAACUUUUCCCUUU
Molecule: long non-coding RNA, 2996 nt
Organism: Lolium rigidum
Lineage: Eukaryota; Viridiplantae; Streptophyta; Magnoliopsida; Poales; Poaceae
Exons: 8
Source: RefSeq, a predicted model, not a curated record